AAUGAUACAGAAAAUGCUGAAAGUUAACCAUCCAGUCACUGACCAGUUCCCCGGUCUAAUAUGGGAGUUGAUGGUGAUCGGUUGACCACUACCUAAUCUAUCUUCCAUGUAUUGCAUCUGUUCCAUGGUUGUGAAAGAAUUGGUUGUCUUCCAAUUGCUACAGUUAGUUUCCUUCCUCUCUUGGAACCAAUGGAUGAAGUAAUGUUUCAUUAGGAGGAACAAACAUUAUUGUUAAUUACAAUGAUUAAAUGAUUAAGAAAGCUUCUUUGAGAUUAAAAAAAGCUAGGCUUUGUCUGUUUUCUCAUGAAGAACGACGGGAAGGAGAGAACCGCUUGGCCUCUGAAGACCACGCGUGGCUCAGCAAAAAGAUAAGGUUUGCUGCUUUCAGCUAAAAUGUUAGGCGACCUGAUGUGGCUGCCA
This 420-nucleotide long non-coding RNA is filed under the name Elaeis guineensis (African oil palm). RNAcentral describes it as "long non-coding RNA (EGUI_LNC007598)". Lineage: Eukaryota; Viridiplantae; Streptophyta; Magnoliopsida; Arecales; Arecaceae. The record is from RNAcentral.